RNAcentral lists this ribosomal RNA (449 nucleotides) under Pantala flavescens. RNAcentral describes it as "eukaryotic LSU rRNA". Lineage: Eukaryota; Metazoa; Arthropoda; Insecta; Odonata; Libellulidae. The record is from RNAcentral.
GAAGAGAGAGUUCAAGAGUACGUGAAACCGUCUGGGAGUAAACGGGUGGUUCCCGAAAGUGCGAAAGGGGAGAUUCAGUCUCGCCGCGUGCCGGGCCGCGCCCGCGAAAAGGGAUGGUGUUCUCGCGGCCAAGGGGCGACCCUUGGUCCGGGANNNUCGCCACCCCGCGGGUGCGGUCCUCCCGGUGCCGGAGCGACGCACUUCUCCCCCGGUAGAACGUCGCGAUCCGUCGGUCGCCGGCCUAAGGUCCCUGGUGGAGCCUGCGCGGUUCGCCGCGCAUGACCCAGGGGUUUCCGGCCGUGUGCCCGACGGUAUGAAGAGAGGAAGGAGUUGGCGCGCCUCUUGUAGGCGUCCGCCCCUCCGCAAGCGCCCGCGGGAGUCGGGAGUCCGGGCCCGGCCCGGCUUCCUUCUUCAGCGGGGCUGUUUGCGAUCAGGAGGUGUGCUCGGAC